GAUGAACGCUGGCGGCGUGCCUAAUACAUGCAAGUCGAGCGAACAGACGAGGAGCUUGCUCCUCUGACGUUAGCGGCGGACGUGUGAGUAACACGUGGAUAACCUACCUAUAAGACUGGGAUAACUUCGGGAAACCAGAGCUAAUACCGGAUAAUAUAUUGAACCGCAUGGUUCAAUAGUUACAGACGGUUUUGCUGUCACUUAUAGAUGGAUCAGCGCCGCAUGAGCUAGUUGGUAAAGUACCGGCUUACCAAGGCGACGAUGCGUAGCAGGACUCAGAGGAGGAUCGGCGACACGUGGACUUAGACAGGGACGAGACUCCGAGGGGAGGCAGCAGUGGGGAAUUUGGGACAAUUGGUGAAAGUCUGAUCCCACCAGGGCGCGUGAAGGAUGAAGGUCUUCGGGUUGUAAACUGCUUUUGUACGGAAAGAAAAGACUUCUUUUAAUACAGGAGGGUCAUGACGGUACCGUAAGAAUAAGCACCGGCUAACUACGUG
This 497-nucleotide ribosomal RNA is filed under the name uncultured bacterium. Its description in RNAcentral is "partial 16S ribosomal RNA". It matches the Rfam family "Bacterial small subunit ribosomal RNA", at positions 28 to 507 of the family's 1533-position model. The record is from RNAcentral.